UAUCAUAGGACAACAAAUCGAUGACGGCUGAGAUGACAGAAUGGAACAGGUUGCGGUUGUUACGGCAGUGGACCCCGAUGGCGAGGGUAGUGGGGUCGAGAGCAGCGCUCAAGGAGCGCCUCCCGCACAACACCGUGGGCCUUAUUCAACCAGAGCUCGGCCAGGCCGCAGUAAUUUCACUGGACCAAAAAACUUCAGUUCGUAAGCUUAAAUAUAAAAUAUUGGGCUCAGACGAUAGGUCUCAGGAGAGCAAUGAGCCAGUGCCCACCUGCCGCCUUUGGGCGCGGUGGGGAGACCAAAUAUGAGUAAGUUCCGCUAAGGUGGGACGCACUUCCGCUGCCCACUGACAAAUGUAC
Molecule: long non-coding RNA, 356 nt
Filed under: Volvox carteri
Lineage: Eukaryota; Viridiplantae; Chlorophyta; Chlorophyceae; Chlamydomonadales; Volvocaceae
Description: long non-coding RNA (VCAR_LNC000261)
Source: RNAcentral